AUUAUCUUGGCAGAUUAGUGUAUUAAGUUUAGAACUUAAAAAAUGUAAUAUUAUUUACAGGUAAUA
This 66-nucleotide transfer RNA is filed under the name Nothochrysa sinica. Its description in RNAcentral is "tRNA-Leu". Lineage: Eukaryota; Metazoa; Arthropoda; Insecta; Neuroptera; Chrysopidae. The record is from RNAcentral.